RNAcentral lists this small RNA (624 nucleotides) under Pongo abelii (Sumatran orangutan). RNAcentral describes it as "processed transcript". The record is from RNAcentral. Lineage: Eukaryota; Metazoa; Chordata; Mammalia; Primates; Hominidae.
AGAAUAUCACUGGAAAAACUUUUUGUAACUGCGUGUUGGUUGGGCCUUGAAGACUGCCUUCAGCUGUCAAAAGAACUUUUCGCAAAAUGGGUGGACCAUCCAGAAAAUGAAAUACCUUAUCCAAUUAAAGAUGUGGUUUUAUGUUAUGGCAUUGCCUUGGGAAGUGAUAAAGAGUGGGACAUCUUGUUAAAUACUUACACUAAUACAACAAACAAAGUAGAAAAGAUUCAACUUGCUUAUGCAAUGAGCUGCAGCAAAGACCCAUGGAUACUUAACAGAUAUAUGGAGUAUGCCAUCAGCACAUCUCCAUUCACUUCUAAUGAAACAAAUAUAAUUGAGGUUGUGGCAGCAUCUGAAGUUGGCCGGUAUGUCGCAAAAGACUUCUUAGUCAACAACUGGCAAGCUGUGAGUAAAAGAGCACUCAUGGGCAUGUGUCUCACACUGACACGCAGGCAAGCUCACAGACAUCAUCUCCACACCAAGGCACAUGCUGGAGCUGAGUACAUCACCAAUAGCAGUGCAGGAACCGCUGUUCCUUUCAGCCAGGCCCAGAAUUCUUCCUAGGAAGCCUACUCUGGAAAUACAUUUUGGAAUAUUUGAUUAAAGAAAACAACUUUUGGCUUG